AGCGAUGUCUAAGACCACACCAAGG
Molecule: unclassified non-coding RNA, 25 nt
Filed under: Mus musculus (house mouse)
Lineage: Eukaryota; Metazoa; Chordata; Mammalia; Rodentia; Muridae
Description: oocyte_clustered_small_RNA9979
Source: RNAcentral